RNAcentral lists this ribosomal RNA (460 nucleotides) under uncultured bacterium. RNAcentral describes it as "partial 16S ribosomal RNA". It matches the Rfam family "Bacterial small subunit ribosomal RNA", at positions 338 to 795 of the family's 1533-position model. The record is from RNAcentral.
CCUACGGGUGGCAUCAGUGAGGAAUAUUGGUCAAUGGACGAGAGUCUGAACCAGCCAAGUAGCGUGAAGGAUGACUGCCCUAUGGGUUGUAAACUUCUUUUAUAUGGGAAUAAAAUGUUCCACGUGUGGGAUUUUGUAUGUACCAUAUGAAUAAGGAUCGGCUAACUCCGUGCCAGCAGCCGCGGUAAUACGGAGGAUCCGAGCGUUAUCCGGAUUUAUUGGGUUUAAAGGGAGCGUAGGUGGAUUGUUAAGUCAGUUGUGAAAGUUUGCGGCUCAACCGUAAAAUUGCAGUUGAAACUGGCAGUCUUGAGUACAGUAGAGGUGGGCGGAAUGCGUGGUGUAGCGGUGAAAUGCUUAGAUAUCACGAAGAACUCCGAUUGCGAAGGCAGUUCACUGGACUGCAACUGACACUGAGGCUCGAAAGUGUGGGUAUCAAACAGGAUUAGAUACCCUAGUAGUC